RNAcentral lists this long non-coding RNA (375 nucleotides) under Homo sapiens (human). RNAcentral's name for it is "non-protein coding lnc-UMODL1-4:2". Lineage: Eukaryota; Metazoa; Chordata; Mammalia; Primates; Hominidae. The record is from RNAcentral.
CAAGUAUAAAAGUAAUUUAGUUUCGUUUUAAAUACAUUUUAGGGCCAAAGAAAAGUGGAACGAUUUAAAGAAAAAGAUGAAAUGAAUAAUAGGGCAAGUUGGGAGGUGGCUGUCCUGAGGUUUCAUGGGACAACAUUAAUUAACCUCAUGAAGUGCCUGCAUGGACAACGUGCCCGGUGUGGUUACAAACAAACCAAUCAGCACAGAUCCUGGGUGGAAAGCAGGGCGCAGCCACGGAGGCACAGUAGGGGUGCAGACUUGAAGGUUUUUAGGAGGUAAGCCCCGAGGGCACGAAGCUCCACGGAGAGACUGUUGACCCGCCUGGGAGUGCAGUGCAGUCACAGCAACCUCCAAAAACCCAACUUUGCAAAGAUA